Molecule: long non-coding RNA, 1455 nt
Filed under: Sparus aurata (gilthead seabream)
Lineage: Eukaryota; Metazoa; Chordata; Actinopteri; Spariformes; Sparidae
Description: lncRNA (ENSSAUG00010008892.1)
Source: RNAcentral
AUGGAGUUGAUGCAGAGGGACAGGAUAAUGCCAGUCAUAGGAGUGAGGAGGAGGAAGAGACAGAUGAGAAGGGACAGGAGAAGGAGGAGGAGGAGAUGGAAGAGGAGGAGGAGGAGAAGAAGGAGGAGGAAGAGGAGGAGGAGGAAAGUGGAGCAGGAACCACCAAAGAAAGAGUGCCAGGUGACCCAACACUCAUCAGUGAACAGGACGGUAGACCACUGCUGCAUUGUCCAGGUCACAUGGUCUUGUGACUACUGCAAACGUUCACGUGGUGGCUUGGUGUCAGUGGAGGAGGUGCAACAGUCUGGGCAGGAAUCACCAGUCAGCGCAAAACAGAUUUGGUUAUUGUAGAUGGCUCAGUCACUGCAGGUUCUUACCUCAGAGACAUCUUAGAACCCAUCAUCAUCCCCCAAUUCCGCCAGCACACCCCCAACUUUCUGUUCAUGGACGAUAAUGCUCCACCACAUCGUGCCAGAAUUGUCACAGCUCGACUUCAGGAAGUCGGAGUGCCUCAUAUGGUAUGGCCAGCAAUCCUGACCUGAACCCCAUAGAGCACGUCUGGGACCAGCUGAAGCAGAGACUGGAUGAUCGUACCCCACCCCCACGUGACCUGGCAGAACUGCGUGUAGCACUUGUGGAGGAGUGGAACGCAUUGCCUCAGAACAACAUCAUGAGGUUAGUGAGGAGCAUGAGACGUUGCUGUCAAGCUGUCAUUGCGGCAAAUGGUGGAAACACCCGCUACUGACAUUGUCAAUUUUUGUUAUUUGGGGCUAUCCUUGUUAUUGUCUAAAUUUUUGGGGUAAUAAAUAUUAAACUAAUGAAAAUGAUGUUUCUUCUCAUUCAUUAUUAGUGAUAUCAAAGGGAACUUUUACUAAUUUCAUUAAAAUUCUGACCAAAUAGGAAAAGCACUCAUGUAAAUAACAAUAUCCCUAACUUAUUGUGAGUAGUGUAUAUGUUUUAUAUUGCUGUUGUUGCACAAAAACACCAAUCUGCAUGGCAGUUAGGACAAGUGAUUAUUUCCUCAUUGGAAGCCAUGUAAUAAAAAAAUCACUACACACACAAACGAUAAUUGAAGCCUUUAAUUUAAAUUCGCUAACAGAAAAAAAUGCGGCAAUUUAGUUUUUCCUCAACAACAGCAAUAUGCUGUUCCGUUUAUUUAUCACAUGGCACAUGAUCCUGAUCUACAUGUGUGUGGUGAGAGUUGGACCAAUACCUUUGACAUCAUAAAUGGCUGACAGGGACAAAUGACGCCCCACACGAACAGUUCAUCCACAAAUUCUACAAUAGGAGCUCAUCUGCUCACCUUCAUGUGAGAAGAAAGAGUUGAGUUUGUAUGUCAGUUUAACAUCACGUGAGUGUGUUAGUGCUGCUGUAUUUCAACAUUCUCCAAAACAGCUGAGACUGAGGAAUAUGUUCUAAUGAAGGACCAACACAUAGAAAAUAACCAUAAAUGUA